AUUGAACGCUGGCGGCAGGCUUAACACAUGCAAGUCGAGCGGGGAAGGUAGCUUGCUACCGGACCUAGCGGCGGACGGGUGAGUAAUGCUUAGGAAUCUGCCUAUUAGUGGGGGACAACAUCUCGAAAGGGAUGCUAAUACCGCAUACGUCCUACGGGAGAAAGCAGGGGAUCUUCGGACCUUGCGCUAAUAGAUGAGCCUAAGUCGGAUUAGCUAGUUGGUGGGGUAAAGGCCUACCAAGGCGACGAUCUGUAGCGGGUCUGAGAGGAUGAUCCGCCACACUGGGACUGAGACACGGCCCAGAGUCCUACGGGAGGCAGCAGUGGGGAAUAUUGGACAAUGGGGGGAACCCUGAUCCAGCCAUGCCGCGUGUGUGAAGAAGGCCUUAUGGUUGUAAAGCACUUUAAGCGAGGAGGAGGCUACUUUAGUUAAUACCUAGAGAUAGUGGACGUUACUCGCAGAAUAAGCACCGGCUAACUCUGUGCCAGCAGCCGCGGUAA
RNAcentral lists this ribosomal RNA (500 nucleotides) under uncultured bacterium. RNAcentral describes it as "partial 16S ribosomal RNA". It matches the Rfam family "Bacterial small subunit ribosomal RNA", at positions 30 to 523 of the family's 1533-position model. The record is from RNAcentral.